RNAcentral lists this ribosomal RNA (477 nucleotides) under uncultured bacterium. Its description in RNAcentral is "SSU rRNA". It matches the Rfam family "Bacterial small subunit ribosomal RNA", at positions 26 to 523 of the family's 1533-position model. The record is from RNAcentral.
AGAGUGAACGCUGGCGGCAUGCCUAACACAUGCAAGUCGAACGGUAACAGGCCCGCAAGGGUGCUGACGAGUGGCGGACGGGUGAGGAAUACAUCGGAAUCUGCCCGGUUGUGGGGGAUAACGUAGGGAAACUUACGCUAAUACCGCAUACGACCUACGGGUGAAAGCGGGGGACCUUCGGGCCUCGCGCAGUCGGAUGAGCCGAUGUCGGAUUAGCUAGUUGGCGGGGUAAAGGCCCACCAAGGCGACGAUCCGUAGCUGGUCUGAGAGGAUGAUCAGCCACACUGGGACUGAGACACGGCCCAGACUCCUACGGGAGGCAGCAGUGGGGAAUAUUGGACAAUGGGGGCAACCCUGAUCCAGCAAUGCCGCGUGUGUGAAGAAGGUCUUCGGAUUGUAAAGCACUUUCGACAGGGACGAUGAUGACGGUACCUGUAGAAGAAGCCCCGGCUAACUUCGUGCCAGCAGCCGCGGUAA